GAUCAACGCUGGCGGCGUGCUUAACACAUGCAAGUCGAACGAAGUUUUUCUUUCGGGAGGAACUUAGUGGCGGACGGGUGAGUAACGCGUGGGUAACCUGCCCUGUACAGGGGGACAACAGCUGGAAACGGCUGCUAAUACCGCAUAAGCCCUUAGCACUGCAUGGUGCAUAGGGAAAAGGAGCAAUCCGGUACAGGAUGGACCCGCGUCUGAUUAGCCAGUUGGCAGGGUAACGGCCUACCAAAGCGAUGAUCAGUAGCCGAUCUGAGAGGAUGUACGGCCACAUUGGGACUGAGACACGGCCCAGACUCCUACGGGAGGCAGCAGUGGGGAAUAUUGCACAAUGGAGGAAACUCUGAUGCAGCGACGCCGCGUGAGUGAAGAAGUAUUUCGGUAUGUAAAGCUCUAUCAGCAGGGAAGAAAAUGACGGUACCUGACUAAGAAACACCGGCUAAAUACGU
This 461-nucleotide ribosomal RNA is filed under the name uncultured bacterium. RNAcentral describes it as "partial 16S ribosomal RNA". It matches the Rfam family "Bacterial small subunit ribosomal RNA", at positions 28 to 506 of the family's 1533-position model. The record is from RNAcentral.